Molecule: long non-coding RNA, 336 nt
Organism: Aphis gossypii (cotton aphid)
Lineage: Eukaryota; Metazoa; Arthropoda; Insecta; Hemiptera; Aphididae
Exons: 3
Source: RefSeq, a predicted model, not a curated record
CACAUAUUUACCGAAAACCACCCAUAAGGAGUAUUCGCAGACCUGCAGGUGCAUAGCGUGCUCUCAGAAUCCUUGACAAGGGUGCUAUAUGCUGUACGGGAAAUUCACAAAACUCCUCCUCCGUUGAGCCGAGGCCGGGUGCAUUAAACUCCACGAGAGAUCGAUCGAUAUUCCCUUUCCCUAUAUAUAUCAGUACACCGGCACCUGACAUUGUGAACAUAGGAACCUACCUCUAUUAUACCUGUGUAUGUUACUUAAGCAACCCUGAAAAUUCGUACCAGACGAUGACGGCGAAUUAUAGAGCUUCACCCUUAAGACGAAAUACGAGCAUCCCGG